This 253-nucleotide ribosomal RNA is filed under the name uncultured bacterium. RNAcentral describes it as "partial 16S ribosomal RNA". It matches the Rfam family "Bacterial small subunit ribosomal RNA", at positions 524 to 776 of the family's 1533-position model. The record is from RNAcentral.
UACAGAGGUCCCAAGCGUUGUUCGGAUUCAUUGGGCGUAAAGGGUGCGUAGGCGGCGCGGUAAGUCGGGUGUGAAAUCCCUCAGCUCAACUGAGGAAGUGCGCCCGAAACUGCAGAGCUUGAGUACCGGAGAGGAUGGCGGAAUUCCCGAAGUAGAGGUGAAAUUCGUAGAUAUCGGGAGGAACACCGGUGGCGAAGGCGGCCAUCUGGACGGAUACUGACGCUGAGACGCGAAAGCGUGGGGAGCAAACAGG